GCAAGUCGAGCGGUAACAUUUCUAGCUUGCUAGAAGAUGACGAGCGGCGGACGGGUGAGUAAUGCUUGGGAAUAUGCCUUAUGGUGGGGGACAACAGUUGGAAACGACUGCUAAUACCGCAUAAUGUCUACGGACCAAAGGGGGGGAUCUUCGGGCCUCACGCCAAAAGAUUAGCCCAAGUGAGAUUAGCUAGUUGGUGAGGUAAUGGCUCACCAAGGCGACGAUCUCUAGCUGGUUUGAGAGGAUGAUC
Molecule: ribosomal RNA, 250 nt
Filed under: uncultured bacterium
Lineage: Bacteria
Description: partial 16S ribosomal RNA
Rfam family: Bacterial small subunit ribosomal RNA
Source: RNAcentral